GAAAGCGCUUUGGAAUGACACGAUCACUCCCGUUGAGUGGGCACCCAAGAAGCCAUCGGGAAUGUCGUGUCCGCCCAGUGCUCUUUC
Molecule: microRNA precursor, 87 nt
Organism: Ailuropoda melanoleuca (giant panda)
Lineage: Eukaryota; Metazoa; Chordata; Mammalia; Carnivora; Ursidae
Gene: MIR425
Product: microRNA 425
Source: Ensembl